This is a non-coding RNA of Paramuricea clavata, 1676 nucleotides long. The record is from the annotation of a GenBank genome assembly. Lineage: Eukaryota; Metazoa; Cnidaria; Anthozoa; Malacalcyonacea; Plexauridae.
GAAACAUGACCUUUAGUUUUUUAUAUUCUUCAUAGUCGAGUUUAAAUUGGCCUAAUUUAUAGUUAGUUACCACUAGAAAUGCGACGAUAUUUUGUUAUAUAUAUGCAACAGUGUUUACAACUUUUGAAUAAUAUGUGAUUUGGUUUUGUUUCAGAUACUAUUACAUGUUGCUUCAUUUUACCAUAAAUUGUGUUAAAAAAGUGAUUUGCUCAUUUGGCUGAUGUUACAGUUUUCGGAUGUGUUUUGUUUGGAUCAUAUUAGAACAAUUUCAAUAUGAAAGUGCAGGUGUCUUUAGAGAUGAGCCAUAAUGUAUAUAUAAAAAAUACUGAUAACAUCCGUUUCCAGCUUGAUUGUAUUAUUGUAUCCGUUUCCGGAUUUGUUGUAUUUGCAUUGUUGCAGACAAAGUUGUGCAAUGGUGGGCUUAUGUCACAUACUCGUAUGUAAUUCCAUGUGCCUGCAUGUACUGUACUUUGAUGCCUCAAGAGAUGCUUCAAAUGUGUAAUAAAGGGCUGUUCGCAGGAGUUGGGCUGUUUGGCCUUAAAUUGCAUUGUUUUUAUGAUAUUUUAAGAUUGUAUUCAUAUGGCUGGACCAUCUUGCCAUUGCCACAAUGUCUGAUGUUCAAACAGGCUUUAAAAUCAGAUUACAAUGCAUGCUUGAAAAUAUGCAACAAUUUCACUGCUAAUAAUAUUCCAGAAAAUCCUGCCUCUUGGGCAGAUCUGGACUGAUUUGUCAGAGGGGGUUGGAAGUUUUUUACUUGUGAUCGGGCAAGGGGAGCUAAGCCAAGGGUGCUGGGUCAGAGUCAUACUAAUGUGAACAGUUUCUAAGUCCUAUUUAUAUUGAUAAAUUAUGUACACUUGGGAUGGUAAUGCAAUUUGUAAAAUAUUCCAGAUUUUAUUUAAUAAAAUUUAAUUAUAUACAUUGUUUUUGUUGUUUAUACUAACACCUUGGACAGUGUAUAUUUACACCUUUGGACCCCGUAAAUAAACACCUUUGGAGGGUGUAUCCAUUCUAAGCCAAAGACGUUUAAGAACAAUUAUCAAGGUAUUUCCAUUAUAAAAUAUAUUUAAAACUGCUCUCCAUAUACAUGUAAUGUAUGGUUCAAUUCUUGCUUUUACCAAGUAAACCCAGGGAUUUUUGAUGUCCCCCCUCCUCCCGUAGAAUUCACUUGAAGUGACUGGGGCAAGGUAGCUAUAAGUAUAAGUAGUUAUAUUGAUUUAAUUAAAGUCAAUUAAAAUUUAGAAAUUGGGCUUUUUGAAUAUAGGCCAUUGCAAUUUUUUUUUCAUUUGUUUAAUCCUUUAUAGUGGCAAUGUCCCUACUUUAGUAUAUUACUCCAUCUGGUGCCUGACAAUUUUAAUUAAGGGCAGAAUGUAGACUUAAGCUUGCCACAAGUCGACCUCGAACGAAACAUUGGCUUACACUCGCUGCUUGCGAAACCGUUUGAGGUCGACUUGUGGCAAUUCUAACAUAAUGCUGCCACUGAAUGAGUUAAUAUAUUCUCAGAACAACUACUAUCAAAUUUAAUCUAUUUUGCUGGCAAAAUUCCGUUGGAGGGGGUCUUUGACUUGUUGUGCGAGUUUCCAUAACAAUGGUCUUUUAUUAAAGUGUUCUUUAGCUGGUAUAAAGACGUAUGCACGUGACUAAUUUCUUACUCAAGAUUGGAUAAUUGCUUCAUGAAU